Molecule: ribosomal RNA, 735 nt
Filed under: Orpinomyces sp. A SSD-2011
Lineage: Eukaryota; Fungi; Neocallimastigomycota; Neocallimastigomycetes; Neocallimastigales; Neocallimastigaceae
Description: eukaryotic LSU rRNA
Rfam family: Eukaryotic large subunit ribosomal RNA
Source: RNAcentral
AGGGAUUCCUUAGUAACGGCGAGUGAAGCGGGAAGAGCUCAAAUUUGAAAUCUUCAAGGUUCUACCUUGACGAAUUGUAGUUUAUAGAAGUGUUUUCUGUUAGUAGAGUGGCAAAAGUUCUUUGGAAUAGGACAUCAUAGAGGGUGAGAAUCCCGUAUUUGGUCAUUCUUUCUAGCUUUGUGAUACACUUUCAACGAGUCGGAUUGUUUGGGAAUGCAGUCCAAAAUGGGUGGUAAAUUUCAUCUAAAGCUAAAUAUUGGCGAGAGACCGAUAGCGAACAAGUACCGUGAGGGAAAGAUGAAAAGAACUUUGAAAAGAGAGUUAAACAGUACGUGAAAUUGUCAAAAGGGAAGCGUUUGACACCAGUGUUGUUUUUCCGAAAAUCAAUUACGAAUGUUUUUGUUUUUGAGAAGUUAUGACUUCAUCGGCUUGCUUCUUUCUUUUAUGAAACUUUCUUAAUGCACUUUUCGGUUAACAAGUCAACAUCAAUUUCUUUUGUUUGUAAAAGGGUAAGGAGGAAAGGUGGGCUUUCUUUUCGGGAGAAGUGUUUAUAGCCCUUGUACCUCUGCAAUCGGAGAGGAUUGAAGUCUGCAGCGUAAAUCCUUCGGGGGUAGAUACCAUUUGUGGCUAGUUAUAGCUUUUCAAGACCAACUUGGUGGACAAUUUUAAGUCUGUAGCUAAUCGCUUAAGCCAUUUUAACCUACGCUAAGAGGUUGACAAUGGGUUUUAAAAAAC